GGGCCUGUGGUCUAGUGGUUAGGACACCUCGCUCACAUCGAGGAGGUCGGCGGUUCGAUUCCGCCCAGGCCCA
This is a transfer RNA of 73 nucleotides. It matches the Rfam family "tRNA". From Rfam's summary of the family: Transfer RNA (tRNA) molecules are approximately 80 nucleotides in length. Their secondary structure includes four short double-helical elements and three loops (D, anti-codon, and T loops).